This 84-nucleotide transfer RNA is filed under the name Macrolepiota fuliginosa MF-IS2. It matches the Rfam family "tRNA". Rfam says of the family: Transfer RNA (tRNA) molecules are approximately 80 nucleotides in length. Their secondary structure includes four short double-helical elements and three loops (D, anti-codon, and T loops). Lineage: Eukaryota; Fungi; Basidiomycota; Agaricomycetes; Agaricales; Agaricaceae. The record is from Rfam by way of RNAcentral.
GGGCACAUGGUGUAGUUGGUUAUCACGCUCGCUUAGCAACUGCUCAACUGCGAGAGGUGUUGGGUUCAAUUCCCAAUGUGUCCA